UUCAUUCAUUCAUUCUCUCUGUUCUCUGAAUCCAAUCCAAUUCAAUUCAAUGCAUAAACAAUGUUUCCAUUUUCACUAUUAUAUAUACACAACAACUCAUUCAUUCAUUCACUCACUUUCAUCGUUUCAUUUCAAUUCCAAUCCCAAUUCCAAUGGUGCAUCACCCACCCAACUCUCACCCCGAGCUACCACCGCCGCCGCCACCACCACCUGUGCCACCGAGGCCCUUUGCCGCCUCCUUCUCUUUAAGGUGGGCGCUCGGAAACCGCAACCGCAACGCCAAAAUCCCCAGGCGGUUCCAAUUCGGAAGGCUGCCACUCCCUACCACCGGAGGUGUCAACCCGGUUCUCCGACUCGGGUUGUCGCCUCUGAACCCGGCUCGACGUAGCGCUCUCCUUAUCAACCCUGAACCCAACUCUAACCCGAACCGGUUCGCUUCUUCUCCUCCAAAGGAGAAAAUUUUGGUUGAACCGGUUGAGGGUUCGGAGAAUACACCUGAGGAUAAGGGCACAAACAACCUCUUGCUCCGGUUUUGUGUGAAAAAGAGGGACCUUUCUGCUCCCAGUGCUGAUCCUGAACCUGAACCCCAGGCUGAGGCUAAGGCUGAGGUUGAGGAGGCUGAGGUUUUGGAGGAAGGAGAAAGUAACCCUUUGGUGAAGACAUGGAAUUUAAGGCCGAGGAAGGUUGUGGAGAAGAAAACUGCAGUGAAGGGUAGGAAUGGUGGCUCGUUGGGCCAUGAUGCUGGCAGAACGAGAAGCAGGGUGCGGCAUGGUUCAUCAAGUCGGGGUAAGAAUGGGGGGCUUAAGGAGCUUAAGGAGAAUGGUGGUAGGAGGAAGGAGGAGGAAGAGGGGGUGGUGUUGAAGACGGCAAUGCUCUCAUUGACACUGACAAAAGAGGAGAUUGAGGAGGAUUUUCUCAAGGUCACUGCUGCCAAACCCCCCAAGAAGCCCAACAAGAGACCUAGGGCUGUUCAGAAGCAGCUUGAUGCAGUUUUUCCUGGCCUUUGGUUGACAAGUGUGAGUGUGACCCCUGAUUUAUACCAAGUUCCUGACCCACCUCUUAAGGGUUAGGGUGUUCACUUGCUAGUUCUGGGAUCAGAAUGUUCUCUGAAAUUCUGACAUCUUCGAAUAUCAAACUGUUCUGUCUUAGUGACAUCCGGAGAAGCAAAUGGAGAAAGUAUAAUAGGGUUGAUAUGACAGAAUGAUGGAUCUAUUCUUUGCUCACUGGAUGCUUCAAAUUCUUCAUGUGCUGCGCGUUUGCCAUUGAACACAGUUCAUUAUGAAAUGUUUCUGUCUCUGUUCCAUCAGAUCAAAUAUAUUCUAGAUUACAAUGGACAAGAAUCUUGAUGCUGCAGCUUAUCAAUAACAUGCAGAUAAGAAUGCCACUACGAUUCCUGCACCUCAACCGAUCAAACCUUUUUCGAGUUUGUGCGCUUCAUGUGAAAGGCCAAAGGAAAAUAGCUGAUGCUGCAUUUCUUGAGAGUGAUUCAAUCGUUGGUUUCGCUACUUGUUGACUCUUCAGAUGUACUACUUCCCU
RNA transcript from Arachis duranensis, 1536 nucleotides. RefSeq lists it as uncharacterized. The transcript has 6 exons. Lineage: Eukaryota; Viridiplantae; Streptophyta; Magnoliopsida; Fabales; Fabaceae. The record is from RefSeq and is a predicted model, not a curated record.